GUGCCAGCCGCCGCGGUAAAACGUAGGAGGCGAGCGUUAUCCGGAUUCACUGGGCGUAAAGCGCGUGCAGGCGGUUUGGUAAGUUGGGCGUGAAAGCUCCCGGCUCAACUGGGAGAGGUCGUCCAAAACUACCAGACUAGAGAGCGAUAGAGGAAAAUGGAAUUCCCGGUGUAGUGGUGAAAUGCGUAGAUAUCGGGAGGAACACCAGUGGCGAAGGCGAUUUUCUGGAUCGUUUCUGACGCUCAGACGCGAAAGCUAGGGUAGCAAACGGGAUUAGAUACCCUCGUAGUCC
RNAcentral lists this ribosomal RNA (292 nucleotides) under uncultured bacterium. Its description in RNAcentral is "partial 16S ribosomal RNA". It matches the Rfam family "Bacterial small subunit ribosomal RNA", at positions 505 to 796 of the family's 1533-position model. The record is from RNAcentral.